RNAcentral lists this ribosomal RNA (2652 nucleotides) under Triticum aestivum (bread wheat). RNAcentral's name for it is "partial small subunit ribosomal RNA". Lineage: Eukaryota; Viridiplantae; Streptophyta; Magnoliopsida; Poales; Poaceae. The record is from RNAcentral.
GCCACACUAUCACGCACGCACUCGAGUCACACCUCCCACGAAGAACCAACAGGAGGCGCGGAUCCCACCGAUAAAUAACCCCGCCUCGCCGCUCCUCCCCAAAAUCAAUCACCGAUCGCUCGGGGUUCCCGGCAUGACGAUGAUGGCCAUGGCCAAGGCGCCCUGCCUCUGCGCGCGCCCGUCCCUCGCCGCGCGCGCGAGGCGGCCGGGGCCGGGGCCGGCGCCGCGCCUGCGACGGUGGCGACCCAAUGCGACGGCGGGGAAGGGGGUCGGCGAGGUGUGCGCCGCGGUUGUCGAGGCGGCGACGAAGGCCGAGGAUGAGGACGACGACGAGGAGGAGGCGGUGGCGGAGGACAGGUACGCGCUCGGCGGCGCGUGCAGGGUGCUCGCCGGAAUGCCCGCGCCGCUGGGCGCCACCGCGCUCGCCGGCGGGGUCAAUUUCGCCGUCUACUCCGGUGGAGCCACCGCCGCGGCGCUCUGCCUCUUCACGCCAGAAGAUCUCAAGGCGGGUGACGGAGGAGGUUUCCCUUGACCCCCUGAUGAAUCGGACUGGGAACGUGUGGCAUGUCUUCAUUGAAGGCGAGCUGCACGACAUGCUUUACGGGUACAGGUUCGACGGCACCUUUGCUCCUCACUGCGGGCACUACCUUGAUAUUUCCAAUGUCGUGGUGGAUCCUUAUGCUAAGGCAGUGAUAAGCCGAGGGGAGUAUGGCGUUCCGGCGCGUGGUAACAAUUGCUGGCCUCAGAUGGCUGGCAUGAUCCCUCUUCCAUAUAGCACGUUUGAUUGGGAAGGCGACCUACCUCUAAGAUAUCCUCAAAAGGACCUGGUAAUAUAUGAGAUGCACUUGCGUGGAUUCACGAAGCAUGAUUCAAGCAAUGUAGAACAUCCGGGUACUUUCAUUGGAGCUGUGUCGAAGCUUGACUAUUUGAAGGAGCUUGGAGUUAAUUGUAUUGAAUUAAUGCCCUGCCAUGAGUUCAACGAGCUGGAGUACUCAACCUCUUCUUCCAAGAUGAACUUUUGGGGAUAUUCUACCAUAAACUUCUUUUCACCAAUGACGAGAUACACAUCAGGCGGGAUAAAAAACUGUGGGCGUGAUGCCAUAAAUGAGUUCAAAACUUUUGUAAGAGAGGCUCACAAACGGGGAAUUGAGAUGAUCCUGGAUGUUGUCUUCAACCAUACAGCUGAGGGUAAUGAGAAUGGUCCAAUAUUAUCAUUUAGGGGGGUCGAUAAUACUACAUACUAUAUGCUUGCACCCAAGGGAGAGUUUUAUAACUAUUCUGGCUGUGGGAAUACCUUCAACUGUAAUCAUCCUGUGGUUCGUCAAUUCAUUGUAGAUUGUUUAAGAUACUGGGUGAUGGAAAUGCAUGUUGAUGGUUUUCGUUUUGAUCUUGCAUCCAUAAUGACCAGAGGUUCCAGUCUGUGGGAUCCAGUUAACGUGUAUGGAGCUCCAAUAGAAGGUGACAUGAUCACAACAGGGACACCUCUUGUUACUCCACCACUUAUUGACAUGAUCAGCAAUGACCCAAUUCUUGGAGGCGUCAAGCUCAUUGCUGAAGCAUGGGAUGCAGGAGGCCUCUAUCAAGUAGGUCAAUUCCCUCACUGGAAUGUUUGGUCUGAGUGGAAUGGGAAGUACCGGGACAUUGUGCGCCAAUUCAUUAAAGGCACUGAUGGAUUUGCUGGUGGUUUUGCCGAAUGUCUUUGUGGAAGUCCACACCUAUACCAGGCAGGAGGAAGGAAACCUUGGCACAGUAUCAACUUUGUAUGUGCACAUGAUGGAUUUACACUGGGUGAUUUGGUAACAUAUAAUAACAAGUACAAUUUACCAAAUGGGGAGAACAAUAGAGAUGGAGAAAAUCACAAUCUUAGCUGGAAUUGUGGGGAGGAAGGAGAAUUCGCAAGAUUGUCUGUCAAAAGAUUGAGGAAGAGGCAGAUGCGCAAUUUCUUUGUUUGUCUCAUGGUUUCUCAAGGAGUUCCAAUGUUUUACAUGGGCGAUGAAUAUGGCCACACAAAAGGGGGCAACAACAAUACAUACUGCCAUGAUUCUUAUGUCAAUUAUUUUCGCUGGGAUAAAAAAGAACAAUACUCUGACUUGCACAGAUUCUGCUGCCUCAUGACCAAAUUCCGCAAGGAGUGCGAGGGUCUUGGCCUUGAGGACUUUCCAACGGCCGAACGGCUGCAGUGGCAUGGUCAUCAGCCUGGGAAGCCUGAUUGGUCUGAGAAUAGCCGAUUCGUUGCCUUUUCCAUGAAAGAUGAAAGACAGGGCGAGAUCUAUGUGGCCUUCAACACCAGCCACUUACCGGCCGUUGUUGAGCUCCCAGAGCGCGCAGGGCGCCGGUGGGAACCGGUGGUGGACACAGGCAAGCCAGCACCAUAUGACUUCCUCACCGACGACUUACCUGAUCGCGCUCUCACCAUACACCAGUUCUCUCAUUUCCUCAACUCCAACCUCUACCCCAUGCUCAGCUACUCAUCGGUCAUCCUAGUAUUGCGCCCUGAUGUUUGAGAGACAAAUAUAUACAGUAAAUAAUAUGUCUAUAUGUAGUCCUUUGGCGUAUUAUCAGUGUGCACAAUUGCUCUAUUGCCAGUGAUCUAUUCGAUCCACAGAUACAUGUGCAAACUGCAAAGUUUCUGGUAAUCAGAGAAGUUUUUCC